This 385-nucleotide ribosomal RNA is filed under the name uncultured bacterium. RNAcentral describes it as "bacterial SSU rRNA". It matches the Rfam family "Bacterial small subunit ribosomal RNA", at positions 29 to 417 of the family's 1533-position model. The record is from RNAcentral.
AUUGAACGCUGGCGGCAUGCCUUACACAUGCAAGUCGAGCGCGAAAGGGGGCAACCCCGAGUAGAGCGGCGGACGGGUGAGUAACGCAUCGGAACGUGCCCAGUAGUGGGGGACAACCUCGAGAAAUCGAGGCUAAUACCGCAUACGACCCACGGGUGAAAGCGGGGGACCGCAAGGCCUCGCGCUAUUGGAGCGGCCGAUGUCCGAUUAGCUAGUUGGCGGGGUAAGAGCCCCACCAAGGCGACGAUCGGUAGCUGGUCUGAGAGGACGACCAGCCACACUGGGACUGAGACACGGCCCAGACUCCUACGGGAGGCAGCAGUGGGGAAUUUUGGACAAUGGGGGCAACCCUGAUCCAGCCAUGCCGCGUGCGGGAAGAAGGCCU